Molecule: ribosomal RNA, 408 nt
Filed under: Salmonella enterica
Lineage: Bacteria; Pseudomonadati; Pseudomonadota; Gammaproteobacteria; Enterobacterales; Enterobacteriaceae
Description: partial 23S ribosomal RNA
Rfam family: Bacterial large subunit ribosomal RNA
Source: RNAcentral
GGGGAACUGAAACAUCUAAGUACCCCGAGGAAAAGAAAUCAACCGAGAUUCCCCCAGUAGCGGCGAGCGAACGGGGAGGAGCCCAGAGCCUGAAUCAGCAUGUGUGUUAGUGGAAGCGUCUGGAAAGGCGCGCGAUACAGGGUGACAGCCCCGUACACAAAAGCGCAUGUGCUGUGAGCUCGAUGAGUAGGGCGGGACACGUGGUAUCCUGUCUGAAUAUGGGGGGACCAUCCUCCAAGGCUAAAUACUCCUGACUGACCGAUAGUGAACCAGUACCGUGAGGGAAAGGCGAAAAGAACCCCGGCGAGGGGAGUGAAAAAGAACCUGAAACCGUGUACGUACAAGCAGUGGGAGCACAGGUUUACCUGUGUGACUGCGUACCUUUUGUAUAAUGGGUCAGCGACUUAU